AGAGUUUGAUCCUGGCUCAGGAUGAACGCUGGCGGUCUGCUUAACACAUGCAAGUCGAACGGAGUAGAAAUACUUAGUGGCGGACGGGUGAGUAACGCGUGAGAAUCUAGCUUCCGGUUGGGGACAACCACUGGAAACGGUGGCUAAUACCAGAUGUGCCGCAACGUAAAAGAGGAAACUCGCCUUUUGAGGAGCUCGCGUCUGAUUAGCUAGUUGGUGAGGUAAAAGCUCACCAAGGCAACGAUCAGUAGCUGGUCUGAGAGGACGACCAGCCACACUGGGACUGAGACACGGCCCAGACUCCUACGGGAGGCAGCAGUGGGGAAUUUUCCGCAAUGGGCGAAAGCCUGACGGAGCAAGACCGCGUGAGGGAGGAAGGCUCUUGGGUCGUAAACCUCUUUUGUCAGGGAAGAACACAAUGACGGUACCUGACGAAUCAGCAUCGGCUAACUCCGUGCCAGCAGCCGCGGUAAUACGGAGGAUGCAAGCGUUAUCCGGAAUUAUUGGGCGUAAAGCGUCCGUAGAUGGUUUUGCCAGUCGGCUGUCAAAGCACAGGGCUUAACCCUGUAAAGGCAGUGGAAACUACAAGACUAGAGUGCAGUAGGGGCAGAGGGAAUUCCCAGUGUAGCGGUGAAAUGCGUAGAGAUUGGGAAGAACACCCGUGGCGAAAGCGCUCUGCUGGACUGCUACUGACAUUGAGGGACGAAAGCUAGGGGAGCGAAUGGGAUUAGAUACCCCCGUAGUCC
RNAcentral lists this ribosomal RNA (746 nucleotides) under uncultured cyanobacterium. RNAcentral describes it as "bacterial SSU rRNA". It matches the Rfam family "Bacterial small subunit ribosomal RNA", at positions 8 to 796 of the family's 1533-position model. Lineage: Bacteria; Bacillati; Cyanobacteriota. The record is from RNAcentral.